RNAcentral lists this ribosomal RNA (473 nucleotides) under uncultured bacterium. RNAcentral's name for it is "bacterial SSU rRNA". It matches the Rfam family "Bacterial small subunit ribosomal RNA", at positions 335 to 800 of the family's 1533-position model. The record is from RNAcentral.
ACUCCUAGGGAGGCAGCAGUGGGGAAGUAUUGCACAAUGGGCGCAAGCCUGAUGCAGCCAUGCCGCGUGUAUGAAGAAGGCCUUCGGGUUGUAAAGUACUUUCAGCAGUGAGGAAGGUGGGUAUGUUAAUAGCAUAUUCAUUUGACGUUAGCUGCAGAAGAAGCACCGGCUAACUCCGUGCCAGCAGCCGCGGUAAUACGGAGGGUGCGAGCGUUAAUCGGAAUUACUGGGCGUAAAGCGCAUGCAGGUGGUUUGUUAAGUCAGAUGUGAAAGCCCGGGGCUCAACCUCGGAAUUGCAUUUGAAACUGGCAAACUAGAGUACUGUAGAGGGGGGUAGAAUUUCAGGUGUAGCGGUGAAAUGCGUAGAGAUCUGAAGGAAUACCGGUGGCGAAGGCGGCCCCCUGGACAGAUACUGACACUCAGAUGCGAAAGCGUGGGGAGCAAACAGGAUUAUAUACCCUGGUAGGCCCAGC